Molecule: unclassified non-coding RNA, 379 nt
Filed under: uncultured Caryophanales bacterium
Lineage: Bacteria; Bacillati; Bacillota; Bacilli; Caryophanales
Description: uncultured Bacillales bacterium contains 16S-23S intergenic spacer region
Source: RNAcentral
UCCGGUUUGUCACCGGCAGUCACCUUAGAGUGCCCAACUGAAUGCUGGCAACUAAGAUCAAGGGUUGCGCUCGUUGCGGGACUUAACCCAACAUCUCACGACACGAGCUGACGACAACCAUGCACCACCUGUCACUCUGUCCCCCGAAGGGGAACGCUCUGUCUCCAGAGUUGUCAGAGGAUGUCAAGACCUGGUAAGGUUCUUCGCGUUGCUUCGAAUUAAACCACAUGCUCCACCGCUUGUGCGGGCCCCCGUCAAUUCCUUUGAGUUUCAACCUUGCGGUCGUACUCCCCAGGCGGAGUGCUUAAUGCGUUAGCUGCAGCACUAAGGGGCGGAAACCCCCUAACACUUAGCACUCAUCGUUUACGGCGUGGACUAC